This 1104-nucleotide long non-coding RNA is filed under the name Oryctolagus cuniculus (rabbit). RNAcentral describes it as "lncRNA (ENSOCUG00000036473.1)". The record is from RNAcentral. Lineage: Eukaryota; Metazoa; Chordata; Mammalia; Lagomorpha; Leporidae.
AUGAUCAGCUAUUUCAUGAGGUGCCGGUUAGCAGCUCCGGCCUGGCCGCUUCUGCGAGGCUCAUGUCCAGGCUGCGGCUGGCCCUGCGCCUCCUUGCUGGACGGGGCCUGCACGACCCCAGCACAGACUCCCUUGGCGUCUCCGAGUGGAAUACUGGACGCCCCGGUGAGACGCUGGAGACACCACACGGCGGUUAGCAAGGGAAGAGCCAGGUGCAGACACUGUGGAGCCCGCACCCGGGCCAGGGAUACUCGGCUGGGGUGGGGGUGGGGGUGGGGGUGGGUGGGGGGGCACUGGAAGCACAGCCGGUACGCUGCACCCCAGGGCCUUUCGUCCCGGGACACCCCACGUGCCUCUAAGUGCCCUCCCAGCUCUCCCGCCCGGCCCUGUGAAACCACCCUGGUGCAUUCCGCCCGUCCCGCCACCAGGGCCACGGCCUCUAAAUCGCGCCUGCCCCUUCCCCUUCCCUGCGCCCAGCGCUCCCAGAUGGCGGCGAGCGGCGCGCUGGACGGAUGCUGGGGACGGAGCAGCCCCCGCUCAGCCACAGGGCUGUACGGAAGACCGCAGCAGAAGCGCCCCGGCCGCUGUCCCGGGCUGGCGGGUAGCGCUCCAGGCCCUAGAGCCCGGCGCCUCAGGCGCUCCCGACUGGCUGGAGGCGGCCACUGCCCUCCCCGGGCGGCAGGUGCAAACGGGACCCUAGAGGCAGCGCCCGGGACCUGCUGCGAGCAUUGUUCCUGGGGCGGAGAUGGGGGCAGAAACUCCAUCUCCCGCGGCGCGCGGAGACUGAGCGCCCCGGAACCUGACCGUGUCAGCUCCACGCCUCCAUGUCUUCGGUCAGUUCAGCUCGGAGCGCGGGAGGCGGGCCACCCCUCUUCCCAGACCCCCGAAGCUGCGGUCGCGCCCUCCCGCCCUGCCCCGUGGACACUAGGGGGACUGCUGCCGUGUGACCCCCGCCCCCCGGCCCGACCUGAGGGCGAGGGACUUGGGCAGCCCCGCGUCCUCUGUUUCUCGCGGAGUAGGUGGGCUCCGCCUCCAGUCCUGACUGAGUCCCUAAGCCGCGAUCACGCAUCUGCGAAACCCCCUUUGCAUUUGAAGGUUAUCUAG